ACCCUCACCGAAUGCGAGUCGUGCGAGACCCCGUGGCCGAGGAGACUGAUCGACCCUCGAGCGAGUCACUCCCUAGGAGCGCUUGCCACGACCGCGACCCCAGGUCAGGCGGG
RNAcentral lists this ribosomal RNA (113 nucleotides) under Carissa macrocarpa. Its description in RNAcentral is "partial 26S ribosomal RNA". The record is from RNAcentral. Lineage: Eukaryota; Viridiplantae; Streptophyta; Magnoliopsida; Gentianales; Apocynaceae.